Salvia miltiorrhiza (redroot sage) is the source of this 1518-nucleotide long non-coding RNA. RefSeq lists it as uncharacterized. The record is from RefSeq and is a predicted model, not a curated record. The transcript has 2 exons. Lineage: Eukaryota; Viridiplantae; Streptophyta; Magnoliopsida; Lamiales; Lamiaceae.
AACAAAUCCCACUCUAUUUCAUUUGAUAUCACUUUUUUUAAGGAUAUUAUAAUGCUACAACAGCAAAAAAGAUUAUUCUUUGAUUAACAUAACUGCAAACUAGCUUUGCUCUGUUUCGAUUUCGUGACAUGUAUCAAAAUGCUCUGUUUUUGCACUUUCGACUCAAAGGCAGGGCAUAUAUUCUUCUAGAAUAACUGAUUUUUUUAGCUACUGUGCAUUUUUGUGUGUAGGGUAAUUGACUAAAUCAUGGUUGCCACAUGAUCUCGCACCUCCUUUUUGUCAAAAGUUUCCAGCAACAUUUUGAAGAAAAAGUGGUGGGAAAGCAUCUUCUUUUUUCUUCAGAUUCCAAAUAAACUGCACUUGUGCAGUGAUGAAGGAUUUAAAGAAUUAGCCAAGAUAAUGAUGAUUGGUGCAUUUUUCUCCUGAUUGAGUGUUGAUUAGCAGAGAAGAUUAAAAAAUAAUGUAGCCUCAACACUAUAUUGCUAAAUAAUAAUGCAUUCGCUUUGGAAUUUCAUAGUGAGAUAUGGCUAAUAUUCUUUGAUUCUUUUGUGGCUUCAAGCUUACACACACUGCAAAUUUUUUGUGGCAUGUCCAGCUUCAUUUCAUAUAUCCUACACUUACAAGAAGUGGACUUGUUUUGGAAUCUGAUCCUUGCAAGAUAAAAAGUUCCUCAAUCCGAUGCUGCUUUCGUGGGAUAUUCUUAGCUCUGCAAUUCAAGACUCUCCCUUUCUAUUCGUCGUCUGCUGCUCUUUUCUUUCUCUCCUUCUGUUCAGAAAUUAGGCCCUUAUCAGAAAACCAACACUCACUCACACACAAGCCUUUAACCUUGUUUUGCUUAACUGAUCAAAACAAAAUGUUCAACAACAUAACAAAAUAAUGAAAUCUUUAUUGAGAUGUUUCAUAUUCAACCUGUGGAGUCGACUGGUAACGCUGAGAUACAAAAACUCCUAAUGAAAAUGCUAGUAAAGUUGUCAAAACAAGGCAUCUCUUGGUCUUGAUCAUCCUCGACAGUCUCUGCAGGAAACUGCUGUCGGGCCUCUCUCCCUUGGGCGUUUCUUCGUGGUUCUGGUUAGAAUCAUCGUUGUUGGCGGUAUCUACUACGCCAUCAGACGUGGUGCUGUCUUGUUGAACUGAGGUCAAGAUCGAGUUGUCAACGUGUUUCUUGGGUAUGAUUACAUAGUAGGUCUCAUCCUCUAAGAUGGCAUUGGUUUCCUCUAUGUUGCAACCUUCUGGUACCUUGUAUGCCUGCUCGAAAUGUAGGAUUGUGUUGUCGUUGGCCUGCCUUUCUCCGCUCACUAUGACGUGGUCGUGGGCAUCGGCUCGAAUCCUCACUUCCUCCUUCUUGAAUCCUUGCACAUCAGGAGCCAUCAAAUUUUCAGAUCAAGGGUUGUGUUUUAGUUCAAAGAUGUAGGAGCACAACAUUUGAAACUCAAUUAACAAUCUUCAAUUUUAUUUUUCUAGUUUUUGAUGUUAUGGUGAGAUAUGAACUGAAAUAAACUAGUCUUCAAUCUUCAAAAA